Non-coding RNA from Pelobates cultripes (western spadefoot toad), 217 nucleotides. The record is from the annotation of a GenBank genome assembly. NCBI's taxonomy places the organism in Eukaryota, Metazoa, Chordata, Amphibia, Anura, Pelobatidae.
CUGACAGGCUAACCACAACAAAAUAAAGGUGAUACAUUGUCAUGAUUACAGGGAACACGUUCUGUCAAACUCGCAAGAAAUGUGCGUAGAUAAAAAUUGGAUUCUUAAAGAGUUAUUUGGUAAGGUAAGAAUUGUCAGGAAUUUAAAAUUAAUUUCAAAAUUUACGUCAAAAUAAACAAUUUUGUUGGUAGUUUGAUUAUUUUGGCUUUAACCCCUU